Molecule: ribosomal RNA, 305 nt
Filed under: uncultured bacterium
Lineage: Bacteria
Description: bacterial SSU rRNA
Rfam family: Bacterial small subunit ribosomal RNA
Source: RNAcentral
CCUACGGGGCGCAGCAGUGGGGGAUAUUGCACAAUGGAGGAAACUCUGAUGCAGCGACGCCGCGUGAGGGAAGACGGUCUUCGGAUUGUAAACCUCUGUCUUUGGGGAAGAAAAUGACGGUACCCAAAGAGGAAGCUCCGGCUAACUACGUGCCAGCAGCCGCGGUAAUACGUAGGGGGCAAGCGUUAUCCGGAUUUACUGGGUGUAAAGGGAGCGUAGACGGCGAUGCAAGUCAGAUGUGAAAACCAUGGGCUCAACCUGUGGCCUGCAUUUGAAACUGUUUUUCUUGAGUACUGGAGAGGCAG